Molecule: ribosomal RNA, 420 nt
Filed under: bacterium enrichment culture clone ALO1_GLFRUDD03F6SZ7
Lineage: Bacteria
Description: bacterial SSU rRNA
Rfam family: Bacterial small subunit ribosomal RNA
Source: RNAcentral
GAGUUUGAUCGUGGCUCAGAUUGAACGCUGGCGGCAUGCCUUACACAUGCAAGUCGAACGGCAGCACGGGAGCUUGCUCCUGGUGGCGAGUGGCGAACGGGUGAGUAAUGCAUCGGAACGUAUCCUGGAGUGGGGGAUAACGUAGCGAAAGUUACGCUAAUACCGCAUAUUCUGUGAGCAGGAAAGCGGGGGACCUUCGGGCCUCGCGCUCUUGGAGCGGCCGAUGUCGGAUUAGCUAGUUGGUGAGGUAAAGGCUCACCAAGGCGACGAUCCGUAGCAGGUCUGAGAGGAUGAUCUGCCACACUGGAACUGAGACACGGUCCAGACUCCUACGGGAGGCAGCAGGUGGGUAAUUUUGGACAAGUGGGGGCAACCCUGAUCCAGCCAUGCCGCGUGAGUGAAGAAGGCCUCGGUUGUAAG